UCCAGACUCCUACGGGAGGCAGCAGUGGGGAAUAUUGCACAAUGGGGGGAACCCUGAUGCAGCGACGCCGCGUGGGUGAAGGAGUACUUCGGUACGUAAAGCCCUAUCAGCAGGAAAGAAAAUGACGGUACCUGACUAAGAAGCCCCGGCUAACUACGUGCCAGCAGCCGCGGUAAUACGUAGGGGGCAAGCGUUAUCCGGAUUUACUGGGUGUAAAGGGCGCGUAGGUGGGCGCUUAAGUCAGGUGUGAAAACUCCGGGCUCAACCUGGAGACUGCACUUGAAACUGGGUGUCUUGAGGGCAGGAGAGGAAAGUGGAAUUCCUAGUGUAGCGGUGAAAUGCGUAGAUAUUAGGAGGAACACCAGUGGCGAAGGCGACUUUCUGGACGGUACCUGACGCUGAGGCGCGAAAGCGUGGGUAGCGAACGGGAUUAGAUACCCUGGUACUA
RNAcentral lists this ribosomal RNA (448 nucleotides) under uncultured bacterium. Its description in RNAcentral is "bacterial SSU rRNA". It matches the Rfam family "Bacterial small subunit ribosomal RNA", at positions 330 to 797 of the family's 1533-position model. The record is from RNAcentral.